UUGGCGGUUAGAUCUGCCAUCUGAUUCCCUUUAGCCACAGCAUCUUAAGUCUUUCUCUGCAAAUGUCAACAGCCCUUUUUUGUCUAUAUAUUGCUCCAUGCAGUGGCAAAAGCAUACCUGCUGUCAGUGUAAAUGUUGAUAGACUUCCCGUUUGCCAUUCAUAGAGCUUGUAUCAAAGCCACAAGUUCAGUUUUCUGGGCUGAAGUUUCUUCAGGGAGGCUGCUAGCCCAGAUCACUUGCUUCCUGUCCACCACUGCUGCCCCCACCUUCCACUUACCUUCAACCAGGAAGUUAGUGCAUCCAUGUACAGAAUGUAAGUGCAGUGAUUGAGGAGGUGAACAGUCAUCAGUCUUAGGCAGUAGGGUAGCAGUAUUGAGGCCAGCAGGGGGAGCGAAGGUCACUCGUUCAGUCAACAAAAAGCUCUGCUAAUCCUAUGAGCAUUUGUAUCCAUUGGUCGGGGGGGCUGUCGGAUAAUGCUUUCAAGAGUGUGGGGUGUCACUACAGUUAUUUGCUGUCCCAGAGUGAGCUUAUCAGCAUCCUUGACAAGUAGAGCUAUGGCAGCAACAGCUUUCAGGCAAGAAAUCCACCCACUGGCAACAGGAUCUAACUUCUUGGAUAGAUCACGUAGCUGGCUCCCUCUUGUAAUACACCUUCCAAUCUCUGAAGUUUGUUUCUGAUAUCCGGAGCCGACUGCCUUAUGAAGGCCAGGGCCACUGAGGCCUUCUGAGAUUCUGAGUUGUGAAGAGCAUCUGCAGCAGCUGCUGACAAUCAUCCCAAAUAGGCUGAUGAGUCCAUCAGGAAUCUGCUCUGCGGCUCCAUGUAACCUCAGCGGUCUGCCUCCCGCUGACCGGACAGGCAAAAGAAUCAGACGAUUUCCAAGGGGGAAGCAUCCGCUUCAACAACAGAACUCAGUCCCUCUGACCGAUCUCCGGAGACUAACAGGCAUCCCUCCCUGGCUCUCCACACUUUCCAGGGCAUCCCCCAGGGCAGCAGCCCGUGGACCUCCUAGCACAUCUGCUGACCACAGUCCUCUGGUCCUUACGGCCCAAAAGGACACCUGCAAAUACAAAGCGCUUACAUUUCAGAAAAUCCCAUCUUCUACAAAUACUGCCCUCUGCUUCCACCGGAAUGACCAAAACUAGAGAAACCAAACUCAGGUGGACCCAAACAAACUCAGAUGGAUCAGAAUCCAAAACUCAAGCUGAUCAGUAUCUAAACUCAGGCUGAUCCAAACUCAGACUGUGCCAAGCUUCAGAAACAAAGGACGAGACACAGACAAACAAACCAAUACAAGCAUGUGUUCAUUUCAGAAAACAGAAAUCAGACACACAGAACAGAGACACUGGCCGGCAUGCACACAUUCCAAAGAGGAUCCCCAUACCUCUAAGUUGGUUCUCAGGUGUGUGGGGUGGUCGCAAUUCCCGGCCAAUGCACCAAAUAAAAGACCCACAACGUCUUUCCAACAAAUCCCUCCCCACCCCCUUGAGUUGUGGUUUCUUCCUUUAAAU
This is a long non-coding RNA of Mus musculus (house mouse), 1508 nucleotides long. RefSeq annotates it as predicted gene, 32764. Lineage: Eukaryota; Metazoa; Chordata; Mammalia; Rodentia; Muridae. The transcript has 4 exons. The record is from RefSeq and is a predicted model, not a curated record.